AUUAGGGUUUGAUCAUGGCUCAGAUUGAACGCUGGCGGCAGGCCUAACACAUGCAAGUCGAACGGUAGCACAGAGAGCUUGCUCUCGGGUGACGAGUGGCGGACGGGUGAGUAAUGUCUGGGAAACUGCCUGAUGGAGGGGGAUAACUACUGGAAACGGUAGCUAAUACCGCAUAACGUCGUAAGACCAAAGAGGGGGACCUUCGGGCCUCUUGCCAUCAGAUGUGCCCAGAUGGGAUUAGCUAGUAGGUGGGGUAACGGCUCACCUAGGCGACGAUCCCUAGCUGGUCUGAGAGGAUGACCAGCCACACUGGAACUGAGACACGGUCCAGACUCCUACGGGAGGCAGCAGUGGGGAAUAUUGCACAAUGGGCGCAAGCCUGAUGCAGCCAUGCCGCGUGUAUGAAGAAGGCCUUCGGGUUGUAAAGUACUUUCAGCGGGGAGGAAGGUGUUGUGGUUAAUAACCGCAGCAAUUGACGUUACCCGCAGAAGAAGCACCGGCUAACUCCGUGCCAGCAGCCGCGGUAAUACGGAGGGUGCAAGCGUUAAUCGGAAUUACUGGGCGUAAAGCGCACGCAGGCGGUCUGUCAAGUCGGAUGUGAAAUCCCCGGGCUCAACCUGGGAACUGCAUUCGAAACUGGCAGGCUAGAGUCUUGUAGAGGGGGGUAGAAUUCCAGGUGUAGCGGUGAAAUGCGUAGAGAUCUGGAGGAAUACCGGUGGCGAANGCGGCCCCCUGGACAAAGACUGACGCUCNNGUGCGAAAGCGUGGG
This 769-nucleotide ribosomal RNA is filed under the name uncultured bacterium. RNAcentral describes it as "bacterial SSU rRNA". It matches the Rfam family "Bacterial small subunit ribosomal RNA", at positions 1 to 765 of the family's 1533-position model. The record is from RNAcentral.